Molecule: ribosomal RNA, 482 nt
Filed under: Streptococcus sp. oral taxon 066
Lineage: Bacteria; Bacillati; Bacillota; Bacilli; Lactobacillales; Streptococcaceae
Description: bacterial SSU rRNA
Rfam family: Bacterial small subunit ribosomal RNA
Source: RNAcentral
GAUGAACGCUGGUGGCGUGCCUAAUACAUGCAAGUAGAACGCUGAAGCUUGGUGCUUGCACCGAGCGGAUGAGUUGCGAACGGGUGAGUAACGCGUAGGUAACCUGCCUGGUAGCGGGGGAUAACUAUUGGAAACGAUAGCUAAUACCGCAUAACAGUAGAUAUUGCAUGAUAUCUGCUUGAAAGGGGCAAUUGCUCCACUACCAGAUGGACCUGCGUUGUAUUAGCUAGUUGGUGAGGUAACGGCUCACCAAGGCGACGAUACAUAGCCGACCUGAGAGGGUGAUCGGCCACACUGGGACUGAGACACGGCCCAGACUCCUACGGGAGGCAGCAGUAGGGAAUCUUCGGCAAUGGACGGAAGUCUGACCGAGCAACGCCGCGUGAGUGAAGAAGGUUUUCGGAUCGUAAAGCUCUGUUGUAAGAGAAGAACGAGUGUGAGAGUGGAAAGUUCACACUGUGACGGAACUACCAGAAAGGACG